Molecule: ribosomal RNA, 434 nt
Filed under: uncultured Lachnospiraceae bacterium
Lineage: Bacteria; Bacillati; Bacillota; Clostridia; Lachnospirales; Lachnospiraceae
Description: partial 16S ribosomal RNA
Rfam family: Bacterial small subunit ribosomal RNA
Source: RNAcentral
ACGGAAGGCAGCAGUGGGGAAUAUUGGACAAUGGGCGCAAGCCUGAUCCAGCGACGCCGCGUGAGUGAAGAAGUAUUUCGGUAUGUAAAGCUCUAUCAGCAGGGAAGAUAAUGACGGUACCUGACUAAGAAGCCCCGGCUAACUACGUGCCAGCAGCCGCGGUAAUACGUAGGGGGCAAGCGUUAUCCGGAUUUACUGGGUGUAAAGGGUGCGUAGGUGGCAUGGUAAGUCAGAUGUGAAAUACCGGGGCUCAACCCCGGGGCUGCAUUUGAAACUGCCAGGCUGGAGUACAGGAGAGGCAAGCGGAAUUCCUAGUGUAGCGGUGAAAUGCGUAGAUAUUAGGAGGAGCACCAGUGGCGAAGGCGGCUUGCUGGACUGUUACUGACACUGAGGCACGAAAGCGUGGGGAGCAAACAGGAUUAGAUACCCUGGUA